AUUGAACGCUGGCGGCAUGCUUAAUACAUGCAAGUCGAACGGUCACAGGCCUUCGUGUGCUGUCGAGUGUUGACCGGGGGAGUAAUGCAUCGAAACGUACCACCAGCCUGUGGGUCACGCAUCAAAAGCUGUGCUCAUACCGAAUGCCAUCUGAUGUAGAAAGCGGCGUACCGCACAGCAAUAAUUCGCCUCUCGUCUUUGGUAUGGCCGAUGUCGGAUUAGCUAGUUGGUGGGGUAAAGGCCUACCAAGGCGACGCUCCGUAGCUGGUCUGAGAGGACGACCAGCCACACUGGGACUGAGACACGGCCCAGACUCCUACGGGAGGCAGCAGUGGGGAAUUUUGGACAAUGGGCGCAAGCCUGAUCCAGCAAUGCCGCGUGCGGGAAGAAGGCCUUCGGGUUGUAAACCGCUUUUGGCAGGAACGAAACGGUGUCCGCUAAUACCGGGCGCUAAUGACGGUACCUGCAGAAUAAGCACCGGCUAACUACGUG
This 492-nucleotide ribosomal RNA is filed under the name uncultured bacterium. RNAcentral's name for it is "partial 16S ribosomal RNA". It matches the Rfam family "Bacterial small subunit ribosomal RNA", at positions 30 to 507 of the family's 1533-position model. The record is from RNAcentral.